GACGAACGCUGGCGGCGUGCUUAACACAUGCAAGUCGAACGGAAAGGCCCUGCUUUUGUGGGGUGCUCGAGUGGCGAACGGGUGAGUAACACGUGAGUAACCUGCCCUUUACUUUGGGAUAACUUCAGGAAACUGGGGCUAAUACCGGAUAGGAGCUCCUGCUGCAUGGUGGGGGUUGGAACGUUUCGGCGGUUGGGGAUGGACUCGCGGCUUAUCAGCUUGUUGGUGGGGUAGUGGCUUACCAAGGCUUUGACGGGUAGCCGGCCUGAGAGGGUGACCGGCCACAUUGGGACUGAGAUACGGACCAGAGUCCAACGGGAGGCAGCAGUGGGGAAUAUUGCACAAUGGGCGGAAGCCUGAUGCAGCGACGCCGCGGGCGGGAUGACGGCCUGCGGGGUGUAAACCGCUUUCGCCUGUGACGAAGCGUGAGUGACGGUAAUGGGUAAAGAAGCACCGGCUAACUACGUG
This 468-nucleotide ribosomal RNA is filed under the name uncultured bacterium. RNAcentral describes it as "partial 16S ribosomal RNA". It matches the Rfam family "Bacterial small subunit ribosomal RNA", at positions 28 to 507 of the family's 1533-position model. The record is from RNAcentral.